This 105-nucleotide transfer RNA is filed under the name Moniliophthora perniciosa FA553. It matches the Rfam family "tRNA". From Rfam's summary of the family: Transfer RNA (tRNA) molecules are approximately 80 nucleotides in length. Their secondary structure includes four short double-helical elements and three loops (D, anti-codon, and T loops). Further hydrogen bonds mediate the characteristic L-shaped molecular structure. tRNAs have two regions of fundamental functional importance: the anti-codon, which is responsible for specific mRNA codon recognition, and the 3' end, to which the tRNAs corresponding amino acid is attached (by aminoacyl-tRNA synthetases). tRNAs cope with the degeneracy of the genetic code in two manners: having more than one tRNA (with a specific anti-codon) for a particular amino acid; and 'wobble' base-pairing, i.e. permitting non-standard base-pairing at the 3rd anti-codon position. Lineage: Eukaryota; Fungi; Basidiomycota; Agaricomycetes; Agaricales; Marasmiaceae. The record is from Rfam by way of RNAcentral.
GGCCGACUAGCUCAGUUGGUUAGAGCGUCGUGCUAAUAUGUACAGGAUAACUGUUUCACAUGUAAUAUUACGCGAAGGUCUUGGGUUCGAUCCCCACGUUGGCCA